GUGCUCGUUAGGAAGCACAUAUACUAAAAUUGGAACAAUACAGAGAAGACUAGCAUAGCCCCUGUGCCAGGAUGACAUGCAACUUCAUGAAGCAAAUAUUUUC
This is a small nuclear RNA of Fukomys damarensis (Damara mole-rat), 103 nucleotides long. Lineage: Eukaryota; Metazoa; Chordata; Mammalia; Rodentia; Bathyergidae. The record is from Ensembl.